This 281-nucleotide long non-coding RNA is filed under the name Gallus gallus (chicken). RNAcentral's name for it is "long non-coding RNA NONGGAT011604". The record is from RNAcentral. Lineage: Eukaryota; Metazoa; Chordata; Aves; Galliformes; Phasianidae.
CGGCGCGGAGCGAACCGAGACGGUGUCCCAUGAUGGUUCCCCUUCUCACAGUGCAGCCCAGGCCACUGGAAGGUGAGACACUGCUGUAAGUGUUCAGAUGAGACGAUCAGUGCCAAAGGAGAUUUUCUGCACCAGCUGCAUCCCAGCACUGUGCUGGGGCUGGGGGCCCCUCGAGCCACAGCCACCGCAGACCCGUAUGUGGUUUGUCACUGCAUCCCUCCAAGCAGAUGUGGUGUUCAGCAGCAGUUACAGAGACAGGCGAGGGGAAGGAACACACGCAG